UACAGAGACUGCAAGCGUUAUUCGGAUUCACUGGGCGUAAAGGGUGCGCAGCGGCCGUGUGUGUGAGGCGUGAAAGCCUGGAGCUUAACUCCAGAAUUGCACCUCAAACUACACGGCUAGAGCAUUGGAGAGGGUAGCGGAAUUCACGGUGUAGCAGUGAAAUGCGUAGAUAUCGUGAGGAACACCAGAGGCGAAGGCGGCUACCUGGACAAUUGCUGACGCUCAGGCACGAAAGCGUGGGGAGCAAAAGGG
This 252-nucleotide ribosomal RNA is filed under the name uncultured bacterium. RNAcentral's name for it is "partial 16S ribosomal RNA". It matches the Rfam family "Bacterial small subunit ribosomal RNA", at positions 524 to 776 of the family's 1533-position model. The record is from RNAcentral.